UGGGUCUGUUUUUGCCAACCAACUGUAAAAUAAAAAUUCGAUUAAAUCAGGAAUUCAGAUAAAUUAUAAAUAUACACAUUUUUGCUCUUCAAUUUUCUCAGUUCAGUAAGUCUAGAGCUAUGUCAUACCUAAGCUAAGAAAGCAUUAUCACUUACAAUAUUGGAUUAGACUAAUUUUUUAACUCUAAACUUAGAAAUAGUAAAUAGAAAAGGGAGGUAAUCAUACAAAUUACAUAUUGACAAUUAUUUGAUAAUUGUGUUGCCUUUAAUUUGAAAAAAAAAAACUGUUUUAAUAUUUAACAUAUAUAUAUAGUACUGACCAAUUGUUAUAUUUGGGUAAUUUUU
Biomphalaria pfeifferi is the source of this 344-nucleotide non-coding RNA. NCBI's taxonomy places the organism in Eukaryota, Metazoa, Mollusca, Gastropoda, Planorbidae. The record is from the annotation of a GenBank genome assembly.